GCUGGACACAGUGGCACAUGCCUGUAAUCCCAGCAACUUGGGAGGCUGAGGCAGGAGGAUCACAAGUUUGAGGCCAGCCUCUUCAGUAAUUUAAUGGGGCCCUAAGGAACUUAGUGAGACCCAGUCUCAA
This 130-nucleotide small RNA is filed under the name Marmota monax (woodchuck). The record is from RNAcentral. Lineage: Eukaryota; Metazoa; Chordata; Mammalia; Rodentia; Sciuridae.